AUGAGCGGGCUUGGGGGCGUGAUUGCGAGUGCCGUGGGGAGGCAAAUCGCCAGCAAGCUUGGUAGAUUUGCCUCAGAGGAGAUCACUCUGCAAUGGGGGUUCAGAAAGGAGGUGGCUGACAUGGAGGAGAAGAUGAAGGAUCUGGAGGCCGUGCUGCACGACGCUGACGACAAGUGUCGUCGAGUAGGAGAAGGUGGAAAAGUGUUUCAGCGGUGGCUCACAAAGUUCAAUCGCGCCGCCUACGACGUCGACGACGUGCUCGAUGAGCUGGACGCUAACGAGCUCAUCAAGAAGAGCCAAACCAAGGUCAAGCUAUGGUUUUCCAGGAACAAUCAGCUUCUCCAGCGGCUGGCCAUGCCCCACAAGAUGAAGAACGUGAGGAAGAAAAUAGACAAAUUAGUUAAGGAUGGCCAGGUGCUCAAUCUUAUGCCUCAUCAAGCACCGGCAGAAGGAAGCAGAAACACUGAAACUUAUGCAAUCAACAUUGGUGAAGGCAUGAAAACUGGAAUGGUGGGGAGGGAUAUCGAGAAGGAGAAGAUAAUCAGCCUGCUACUGGCAUGUGAAGCUGAUGAGGAUAUCUCUAUCAUUCCGAUUGUUGGGCUUGGUGGCAUAGGCAAGACAACACUGGCCGAAUCAGUUCUGGCAGACAAGAGGGCCGCCAUCUUCGACGUCUCAGCCUGGGUUAGUGUGUCCAAGCAGUUUGAUCUGCACAAAAUUGGGUGCGCCAUCAUGAGAAGCGUGAAUAGUAACAUCAGCCUUGACAACUGUAGUUUGCAGUUUCUUCAUGAUAAUCUGAAAAGGGAAUUUGCUACUAGAAGAUACUUGAUUGUUCUCGAUGAUCUCUGGGAAGAAGAUGGUGAAAAACUGGAAGAGUUGAAGCGAAUGCUACAAUAUGGCCGCAGGGGUAGCCGGAUUAUAGUAACUACCCGAAACCUAACCGUAGUGCAAAAACUGCGCACAGGUCUUCUUGCAAAUGGCAGGAACAUCCUGCCUGUGCCUGAGUCUCAUGAAAUCAGUUUGGAUGUUUUAUCUCCUGAUGAUUGUUGGGAGUUAAUGAAGAAAAGGGCAUUUGGGCCUGAUGAUCACCAAAGCAUCUUGGAGGAAAUUGGAAAGCAAAUAGCUAUGAAGUGUGGGGGCCUACCACUUGUGGCAAAUGCUCUCGGGCAAGUAAUGUCCGAGUUAAGGACCAGGAGGGCAUGGGAAGACAUAAGAGACACCAAGGUUGAUUUGGGUUUGAGAGAUGCUCAGCAAAAGAAAACACUAGAGAGCCUAAUGCUGAGCUAUUACUACAUGAAGCUGGACUUCAAAAUGUGUUUCACUUAUUUGGCGGCUUUCUCCAAGGGCUCCGUCAUGAAUAGCAACCAUCUAAUCCAUCAAUGGAAUGCUCUUGGAUACAUUUCUCCUGGGUAUGAUGGUCAAAGGUGCAUCAACUACCUUCUAGGGAUGUCAUUUCUUCAAAUUCCAGGCUCUCCUUCAGUUAGUCCAAGUCCAAUGCAUGCCCGAGCUCCUGGGGAGGUCAUCAUGCAUGAUUUGGUUCAUGAUCUGGCAUCAAUAAUUGCUGCUGAUGAAUUCAUUGAACUGGACGCAACAAACAAGUCCAACUGGAACAAAGCUCGUUAUUGCCGACAUGCACAGUUAACCAACUAUAAGAAGGAUUCCGAGGUUUUCAAAUAUCUGCCAGACAAGGGUAGAUCCCUCCAUUUUAGGGAUUUAGUGAAACUGCAACUCCCUCAGAAGGCAUUUUCUCGAUCCAAAUACAUACGUGUCUUGGACUUUGGGGGUUCAGCUGAAGUGCACUCUGCUUCAAGCAACGUAGUGCUUCCAUCUUCCAUUCAUCAGUUGAAACUGCUUAGGUAUCUUGAUGCCACCGGCUUGCCAAUCACAUCACUUCCUAAGUCAUUUCAUACACUUCAGAAUAUUGAAACUCUCAUUCUGUCCAAUUGCUCACUUGAAACCUUGACUGAUAAUGUUUGUCGCCUCAGCAAGCUUUGCUAUUUGGACCUAUCUGACUGUAGCAGCCUUAGUAAACUACCUACAUCGCUAGGGGAGCUCUCCAAACUCUCUUUCCUCAACCUAUCAGGGUGUUCUCUACUCCAAGAGUUGCCCCAAUCAAUCUGCAACCUUACAUGCUUAUGGCACCUAGACAUGUCAGAUUGUCGGAAGCUUCAACAACUCCCUGAUAAUCUUUGGCACCUACUCAAACUCUCGUUCUUAAACUUGUCAAGUUGUUUCAAUCUCGCCAAACUACCUGCCGAUGUUAAAUUCCCAUCUUUAGAGCAUCUGAACCUAUCAAGUUGCCAUGAGCUAGAAAACUUGCCAAAAGAUUUUGGCGUUCAUAAAAAACUUGAGUUCUUGAACCUCUCUGAUUGCUACAAGGUCCCGAUGCUGCCGGACUCAUUUUGCCAACUUGACCAUUUGAAAUACCUAGAUCUUUCGGAUUGCCAUAAUCUCAAAGAACUCCCUGAAUGGUUCGGUAACCUCUUGGAGCUUGAAUAUUUGAACCUAACAAGUUGUUGUAAGCUCCAAAUAUUGCCCGAGUCAUUAUGCAAGUUGUCUAUGCUGAGGUGUCUAUAUCUGUCAUACUGUGUGAGCUUGACAAGGCUCCCUUCCUCAUUUAGUGACCUUAAGCUUCAAACACUAGACAUAAGUGGUGUAUUAUCUCUCCGUGACUUGCCAGAUAGCAUUGGUGGCAUGACUAGUCUCACCCAAUAUAUUGCUGAUCCUAUGCCUGCUACUUUGGCUGAAGAGUCUCGAGCCAUGAAGCAGAGUCUAGGUUUGUCGAGCUAUGUACACCAUCAUGUACACGAGAUAGACAGUGGAAGAUGUAGCAGUAUAGUGGAGCUUGUAGGAUUGACCUGUUCUGAACUGGUCCUGAAAGACCUUCAGAAUAUCAGGGACCCGGAAGAUGCUGACAGAAUGAAAUUGCGUGAUAAAUCAGAUAUUCGAAUAUUAGACCUUUUCUGGCAAAAAGAAGGCAGUGAAUCUGUCCUUGAGAGGCUUGUACCUCCCCGUACUCUUGAACAUUUUGGGCUAUAUGGGUAUAUGGGCAAGGAUUUUCCUAAUUGGAUGUCUCACAUGUCCUCCCACUUCCCUUCUCUCAGCAUACUUGUUCUCCAUGAUUUGGAAACAUGUGAUUAUCUUCCUCCAUUUGGAGGGCUGCCAAAUUUAAGAUGCCUGUUUAUGAUGAGAAUACCCAAGAUCAGGAAAAUUGACAGGGAAUUUUAUGGAGAGGGUGGGCCUUGUAUGAAAUUAAGAACGCUGCAACUGAUAUCGAUGGAGAAUUUGGUGGAAUGGUGGACAACAAAGUCUGGUGAAGAAAACGAAGAGUUUUUAAUCCCUAAUUUGCAUAAUUUGGUGCUCGAGAACUGCCCAAGGCUGAAGUUCCUGCCGUAUCCCCCAAGAAGUAUGAGGUGGAGCUUGGAAAAGAGUGAUCUGGCUUUGCCUGAACAAGGAUUUGGGAAGCUUUUGUCUCACACUCUUCCUUUUGCGAUGAAUAUAUGCAACUGCAAUUUUUCUGAGGACAAGUGGGAUGGACUUGAACACUUAUCCACCCUUGAAGAAUUUAUCGUUAACUCUGUCAGCAGCUUGAGGUCAUUGCCAGAAGUAAUUGCAUGUUUCAGCUCUCUCACAAGACUAUAUUUGGUGUCGCUGAAGGACCUGGAGAGACUCCCAGUUUGGUUGGGGUGCCUCGUUUCUCUUGAAAUGUUUUACAUCCGAGAUUGCUGCAACAUAACGUAUCUACCAGAAUGUAUGAAAGACCUCACUGCUCUUAGAGAGCUGAAGUUGAUAGAGUGCAAAGGCCUAAAAAGCUUUCCGGGAUCAUUGGAACAGCUGACUUCCCUUGAAGAAAUAUACAUCAGAGAUUGCCCCAACAUAACGUACCUGCCAGAAUGUAUGAAAGACCUCACGGCUCUUAGAGAUCUGACGUUGAUGGAGUGCAAAGGCUUACAAAACUUACCGGAAUCAUUGGGGCAGCUGACUUCCCUUGAAGAAAUGUACAUCAAAGAUUGCCCCAACAUAAAAUAUCUUCCAGAAAGUAUGAAAAGCCUCACUGCUCUUAAAGAACUGAAAUUGAUACAGUGCAAAGGCCUAGAAGAAUUACCAGGAUCACUGGGACAGCUGACUUCCCUAGAAGUAAUUCACAUCAGAGAUUGCCCCAACAUAACAUAUCUGCCAGAAAGUAUGAAAAACCUCACUGCCCUCAGAGAACUGAAGUUGAUAGAGUGUGAAGGCCUAGAAGAAUUACCAGGAUCAUUUGGACAGCUGACUUCCCUAGAAGAAAUUCACAUCAGUAAUUGCCCCAACCUGACAUGUUUGCCUGAAAGCAUACACAGCCUCACCUCCUUGAAGAAGCUCCACAUUAGAGAAUGUCCAAGUUUGAUUGCAAAAUACGAAGGAGAGGAUGCACACAAGAUUUCUCAUAUCCCUACUGUCGAAUUAGUUCCAGAUGUACUUACAGCAUUUGGUCGUGUUAUAAAUGCCUUGGCUGGACUUCUUGAGGUGCAGGAGGGGAACAAUGUUGAACAAGCGUCUGGUUCUGGUUCCAGUUGGACCUGUGAAACAAUGUUAACAGCCCCUCAAGAAUGUCCUCAAAAUGUUGACGGGCCAUCCUGUAAGCUUUGA
This 4623-nucleotide ribosomal RNA is filed under the name Triticum aestivum (bread wheat). RNAcentral describes it as "partial small subunit ribosomal RNA". The record is from RNAcentral. Lineage: Eukaryota; Viridiplantae; Streptophyta; Magnoliopsida; Poales; Poaceae.